Molecule: ribosomal RNA, 257 nt
Filed under: uncultured bacterium
Lineage: Bacteria
Description: partial 16S ribosomal RNA
Rfam family: Bacterial small subunit ribosomal RNA
Source: RNAcentral
UACGAAGGGGGCUAGCGUUGCUCGGAAUCACUGGGCGUAAAGCGCACGUAGGCGGCUUUCUAAGUCAGGGGUGAAAUCCUGGAGCUCAACUCCAGAACUGCCUUUGAUACUGGAGAGCUUGAGUCCGGGAGAGGUGAGUGGAACUCCGAGUGUAGAGGUGAAAUUCGUAGAUAUUCGGAAGAAACACCAGUGGCGAAAGCGGCUCUCUGGAACGGUACUGACGCUGAGACGCGAAAAGCGUGGGGGAGCGAACAGGA